GGGGCUGGCGGAGAGUGGGGUUCCGGCUGCCGGGUCCUGCUCGGCGGGGGCUCUGCCCGGCCCGGGGUCCUCGAGAACCGGCUCCGGGCCGGUGCGGGGGUGCCGCUGUGCUGGAAACCGGCUGUAGCUGCACCGGGACCGGGCGGUUCGUUUUUUCGGGGCGUAUCCGGCCGCGGGUCUCACGGCCCCGGCGCGGGGCGAACGCAGCCGGCGGGCGGAACCGCGGGCGGCACUGUCUCCCGGCCGCUUUAAGCAGCCCGGCGAUCAGUUUGUUUUCCCUCCUUCGGUUUCCUCUCCCCGGCUUUUGUCCGCAGCGGCUGCCAGGAGGAUAGCGCCGCGCCUCGGCCCGGCGCUGGCUCUGCCGCAGCCGGAGGAGCUGGAAGCGGUGACUGCGGGAGCUGCUGCUGGGGGAACUGCUUUCUACUGGGGCUCAGCCCUUAGGCUGCCCCGGCGGGGUCGUGGGGCAGCUGUGAGCCCUUCGCGGAGCCGGGCUUGGACCGAAGCGCCCUUUUUUCAGCUCCCGAGUGCUGCGGCAGGAGCCGAGGCUCAUCCUGGCGCCGGGCCUGGAGCUCGGGCCCGAGGCGGCGAGCGCCGGGGGCCGGCGGCGGGGAGGACGUGGGCGGUCCAGCUUAUGGGCAGCUCCAGCCUGUGGAUGCUUCAGGCUUGUUUAAGGCUCCAGUUCAAGGAUGAUUCCAGCUCCUCUUCAGCUUCAGUUCCUUCUCGUUCCAGUUGUUAUGCAGCUCCAGCUCUUUUCAGUUUGUGCUUAUUCCUAUGAGCUUGGCCAUUGGCCAGAUCAUAAAUCAAUCACUGUCACAACUUCCAUAUGAACUGUCAAACACUGAAUAAAUAGGGCAACAAAGAUGA
Long non-coding RNA from Columba livia (rock pigeon), 864 nucleotides. RefSeq lists it as uncharacterized. The transcript has 2 exons. Lineage: Eukaryota; Metazoa; Chordata; Aves; Columbiformes; Columbidae. The record is from RefSeq and is a predicted model, not a curated record.